GAUAAUAUAAAAGUAACAGACACACAACCAUCAUAGGACUCAACCGCACCAGCCACACAAUCAGGGGUCAUUCACCCGCACAUCUAUGAAUGUGAUAUAUGCCAUCAUGUGCCAGCAAUGCCCCACUGCCAUGUACAUUGGCCAAACUGGACAGUCUCUAUGCAAAAGGAUAAAUGGACAUAAAUCCGACAUUAGGAAUGGUAACAUACA
Chelonia mydas (Green sea turtle) is the source of this 210-nucleotide long non-coding RNA. RefSeq lists it as uncharacterized. The record is from RefSeq and is a predicted model, not a curated record. The transcript is spliced from 3 exons. NCBI's taxonomy places the organism in Eukaryota, Metazoa, Chordata, Testudines, Cheloniidae.